Molecule: ribosomal RNA, 492 nt
Filed under: uncultured bacterium
Lineage: Bacteria
Description: partial 16S ribosomal RNA
Rfam family: Bacterial small subunit ribosomal RNA
Source: RNAcentral
AGUGAACGCUGGCGGCAGGCCUAAUACAUGCAAGUCGAACGACAGCAUAGUAAGCGCUCGCUCCUACGGGUGGCGAGUGGCGGACGGGUGAGACAUACAUAGGCUACUACUUUUUCGUGGGGGACAUCGUAGGGAAACAUCUGCUAAUACCUCAUAUGACCAACGGGAGAAAUCAGGAGUUAUACGCACUUUGCCUGUCUCAAUGAGACGAAGUCGGAUUAGCUAGUUGGCGAGGUAAAGGCCCACCAAGGCAACGAUGCGUAGCUGGUCUGAGAGGAUGAUCGGCCACACUGGAACUGAGACACGGUCCAGACUCCUACGGGAGGCAGCAGUAGGGAAUAUUCGACAAUGGGCGCAAGCCUGAUCCAGCCAUGCCGCGUGGGUGAAGAAGGCCUUCGGAUUGUAAAGCCCUUUUAUUAGGAAAGAAAAGCAGCAUGAUAAUACACCGCUGUUCUGACGGUACCCAAAGAGUAAGCACCGGCUAACUUCGUG